Molecule: ribosomal RNA, 366 nt
Filed under: Triticum aestivum (bread wheat)
Lineage: Eukaryota; Viridiplantae; Streptophyta; Magnoliopsida; Poales; Poaceae
Description: partial small subunit ribosomal RNA
Source: RNAcentral
AUGAUUUCUAUUUUAAGAACAAAUCUUCCUUGUACUGGUGCAGCAAUUAUUUAUUCACUGUAUACAAUGAAUAUGUUCCCGGUUGAUUGCUUUCAAGAUUGCAGUGCAUUACUCAACUAUCAAAGUAAACUAUUGAAAACAGAGGACAAGAACAAGCUCUGCAUGCAUGUUCUUCAGGAGCUACAAAUAGCAAGUUUGCUUGUUGGCUCCAACAGUUGGCAUUGUGCAACCAAUGUGGUGACAAGAUGUCACCAUAGAGCUCAGCGACGCGUUCUCGACCUCGGCAGAGGCAUUUCUCCUGAGCAAGCAUAUGACAUACUCCAUCACUUCGGCAACACAAGGCAGUGUGAUCUUGCCAUGGCUUGA